GGGGAUGCAAUGGUUUCGACAGGGGCAGUUGAAGCUUAGAUAGCGAGCCGGGGGGUCAUCAACCCGUUAGUAAGGUGAAAACAGCUUAAAUAUAAAAGCUAACAACGAUUACGCUUUAGCCGCUUAAGGCUAACCCCUGUCUGCUUAUCUCCCGCGUGAGCGGAUAAGGGGCCAAUAGCGGGAUACCUGAGGGCCAAUUCUCGGAGGCCUGAAAGGGAAAUCUCAUCGAGAUCGGAUGGAUGGCGGUUGUUUGUGUCUGCCUAAAUCUUAAAUCUAAACAUAAACUGCGCUCGGAGAAGUCUUGGUAACGACGUUCUUGGACAGGAGUUCGAUUCUCCUCAUCUCCACCA
Molecule: transfer-messenger RNA, 350 nt
Filed under: Selenomonadaceae
Lineage: Bacteria; Bacillati; Bacillota; Negativicutes; Selenomonadales
Also listed under: 2 other names
Description: CAMCDL01 sp945873565 Standard tmRNA
Rfam family: transfer-messenger RNA
About the family: Bacterial tmRNA, also known as 10Sa RNA or SsrA, is named for its dual tRNA and mRNA-like properties.
Source: RNAcentral